GUACGUUCGUUUGAAGAGCCGGUGCGGCACUGAGUGCCGCACUCGUCGGUGCCAGUUUUGGUUCAAUCGAACGUCAUUUGUCAGUGCGCGUGGAACUCGCAUGAAACUGAAAAAAUAUCGAGUGCGGCACUAGAGUUUCAGUUCCAAGAUGGCGGCGAAACUCGUGCGGAACUAGCGCGAGUUUCUUCAAACAAACACUUUGACAGCUCUGAGUGCGGCACUCAGUGUGGAACUACCCAAGUAACCAUCCAGCACUAAAAGAAAUCAUUAAUAGGCUGUAAACCAGCAUUCAACAGCUAAUCUGCUGUAAAACAGCUAAUGUGAGAGCAAAUCAGCUCUAAAGCAACUGCUCUAGGAAUAGCUGAAUUGCAGCUGAUUUCGUGCAGGUACUAGCAACACUGUCAUAAUGUUUCUAAAAAUACUAUGGCAUCACGUCUGCCAUUUUGAGUGAGUGUGAGAGAGAGUGAGCGAGAAGGAGAACAAAGCAAAACACAGCUCUCGCUCACUCGUUGAAAAAUCAACAUGGCAAGCAAGAUCCGGACUGGAAAAAGCUGCAACUGAACACCUUUUUUUUACAAUUUUCGAAUCAAAACCCACGUCAUGGAAUUCCAACAUGACAUUUGUGUCGAGGAAACACCAACCAUUGGAAUCGUUCGGACUUGGAAGACAGCGGACAGCGAUCUAGGCGGACAUUUCGCGAUUGCGGUGCCACGGUUGCAGGUACGAAUAGCGAGUAUCAUGUAGUGUUUUUUAGGAUCGUGAAUAAACCAUGUGAUGCAAUGUGACAUGUAAUAAAAAAAAAUGUAUUCAAA
Molecule: long non-coding RNA, 812 nt
Organism: Culex pipiens pallens (northern house mosquito)
Lineage: Eukaryota; Metazoa; Arthropoda; Insecta; Diptera; Culicidae
Exons: 2
Source: RefSeq, a predicted model, not a curated record